RNAcentral lists this ribosomal RNA (606 nucleotides) under uncultured Nesterenkonia sp. RNAcentral describes it as "bacterial SSU rRNA". It matches the Rfam family "Bacterial small subunit ribosomal RNA", at positions 834 to 1438 of the family's 1533-position model. Lineage: Bacteria; Bacillati; Actinomycetota; Actinomycetes; Micrococcales; Micrococcaceae. The record is from RNAcentral.
CGUUUUCGGCGCCCGUAGCUAACGCAUUAAGUGCCCCGCCUGGGGAGUACGGCCGCAAGGCUAAAACUCAAAGGAAUUGACGGGGGCCCGCACAAGCGGCCGGAGCAUGCGGAUUAAUUCGAUGCAACGCGAAGAACCUUACCAAGGCUUGACAUACACCGGACCGCCCUAGAGAUAGGGUUUCCCUUCGGGGCUGGUGUACAGGUGGUGCAUGGUUGUCGUCAGCUCGUGUCGUGAGAUGUUGGGUUAAGUCCCGCAACGAGCGCAACCAUUGUCCUAUGUUGCCAGCACGUAAUGGUGGGGACUCAUGGUAGACUGCCGGGGUCAACUCGGAGGAAGGUGGGGAUGACGUCAAAUCAUCAUGCCCCUUAUGUCUUGGGCUUCACGCAUGCUACAAUGGCCGGUACAGUGGGUUGCGAUACUGUGAGGUGGAGCUAAUCCCUAAAAGCCGGUCUCAGUUCGGAUCGAAGUCUGCAACUCGACUUCGUGAAGUUGGAGUCGCUAGUAAUCGCAGAUCAGCAAUGCUGCGGUGAAUACGUACCCGGGCCUUGUACACACCGCCCGUCAAGGCACGAAAGUUGGUAACACCCGAAGCCGGUGGCCCAA